This is a small nucleolar RNA of Neltuma alba, 90 nucleotides long. RefSeq annotates it as small nucleolar RNA R24. NCBI's taxonomy places the organism in Eukaryota, Viridiplantae, Streptophyta, Magnoliopsida, Fabales, Fabaceae. The transcript has a single exon. The record is from RefSeq and is a predicted model, not a curated record.
ACAGCUGUGAUGAGCCGCUAACACGUAAGAAGAAUCCCUAGUUGGGUUUCUUCUGUGAAAUAUACUUGUUACGCUUGGCUUCUGAGCUUC